GAAGUCGGUCAGGUAAUCGCUGUCGUUAAUCGAUAGAGGAAAGUCCGGGCUCCACAGGGCAGGGUGCCAGAUAACAUCUGGGCGGCGUGAGUCGAUGGACAGUGCCACAGAAAAUAUACCGCCUCGCUUGCGGGGUAAGGGUGAAAUGGUGCGGUAAGAGCGCACCGCGCUGUUGGUAACAACAGUGGCAGGGUAAACCCCAUCCGGAGCAAGACCAAAUAGGAACCCGCAUAGGUAUGGCCCAUACCGGGUUCGGGUAGGUCGCUAGAGGUUUACGGUGACGUAAAUCCCAGAUGAAUGAUUACCACUGAUACUUGUUAUCAGGACAGAACCCGGCUUACAGGCCGGCUUCCUUC
Molecule: RNase P RNA, 356 nt
Filed under: Gammaproteobacteria bacterium
Lineage: Bacteria; Pseudomonadati; Pseudomonadota; Gammaproteobacteria
Description: RNase P RNA component class A
Rfam family: Bacterial RNase P class A
About the family: Ribonuclease P (RNase P) is a ubiquitous endoribonuclease, found in archaea, bacteria and eukarya as well as chloroplasts and mitochondria. Its best characterised activity is the generation of mature 5'-ends of tRNAs by cleaving the 5'-leader elements of precursor-tRNAs.
Source: RNAcentral